GGGGAAUUUUGGACAAUGGGCGCAAGCCUGAUCCAGCAAUGCCGCGUGCAGGAUGAAGGCCUUCGGGUUGUAAACUGCUUUUGUACGGAACGAAAAAGCUCUCUCUAAUACAGGGGGUGAAUGACGGUACCGUAAGAAUAAGCACCGGCUAACUUCGUGCCAGCAGCCGCGGUAAUACGAAGGGUGCAAGCGUUACUCGGAAUUACUGGGCGUAAAGCGUGCGUAGGUGGUUGGUUAAGUCUGAUGUGAAAGCCCUGGGCUCAACCUGGGAAUGGCAUUGGAAACUGGGCAGCUAGAGUUCGGUAGAGGGUGGUGGAAUUCCCGGUGUAGCAGUGAAAUGCGUAGAGAUCGGGAGGAACAUCUGUGGCGAAGGCGACUGCCUGGACCAGCACUGACACUGAGGCACGAAAGCGUGGGGAGCAA
This 423-nucleotide ribosomal RNA is filed under the name uncultured bacterium. RNAcentral's name for it is "bacterial SSU rRNA". It matches the Rfam family "Bacterial small subunit ribosomal RNA", at positions 356 to 771 of the family's 1533-position model. The record is from RNAcentral.